GGGUGCUUGAGGCUAUCUGGCUUUGAGCAUUGACAAGGAUUCAGAUAGACGAAAGCCCCAGGAGAUAUUUCUAUCAACUGAGGCUGACGGAUGAACCUGAACAAUUCAGAUGUUAGUCUCUUCUUUGCAGGGAGGCAAGACAUG
RNAcentral lists this antisense RNA (144 nucleotides) under Klebsiella oxytoca. RNAcentral describes it as "sok antitoxin (CssrC)". It matches the Rfam family "sok antitoxin (CssrC)". Rfam says of the family: Also identified in Shigella as CssrC. The record is from RNAcentral. Lineage: Bacteria; Pseudomonadati; Pseudomonadota; Gammaproteobacteria; Enterobacterales; Enterobacteriaceae.